UGAUCAAGGGCAGCCACCUUGGGAAGGCUUGCAUCCUCCCUCUGCCUGUUGCCUAUUUGAUAGCUACAGGAGUCCUCUAUAGAAUAUCUAUUUUACAUACAGCUCUGACAGUUUCUGCCUGCCUUUUCCCUUCCAGGAGGACCCUUGAACUGCGAACACUAGUGCGUCCAGCAGGAAAGCUGUUCCCUUGGAGGGCAGUUAGCACUGCUGGACACUGAGGUGACACUUGGGUCUUCCCAUGGAGUUGCUGUCUUCUACCGUUGAUCCUGCAAGGCUGGCCUCUCCUGACAGUUGCUUCUUUGGCCUCUGGCCCUGAAUUCAGUUGGGUGGAUGGCUCUGGAUUAAGUGCAGGCCUUGCCUCUGUCCUGGGUUCCUGAGGUUUGGGCCACUGAAGCACAGGGCGGGAGGAGGUUGUCAUCUCUGGGGGGAAUUUCAAGUUCAGAUGCCAACAGCUGUGGGCUCUGGCUUAGACCUGGGGCCUCUGCACGCCCCCCCUUCCCUGUCAGCUGUCUUGGGGGCAGGCACCCAGUGGCUUUCUGUUUUGCAUAACUGCAAAGCAGCAGCAUUCCCACUGUCCCCACCUCUGUCUCCACCCCAGCCCCUUUUUUGGUACUAGAGUUUGAACUCAGGGCUUUAGACAUUCUAGGCAAGUGCUCUACAGCUGAGGUAUAUAGUUCCAGCCCCUUUUUUAUUUGAGACAGAGUCUUAUAUUAUACAGUCAGCCUGGCCUCGAGCUCAUAAUCCUUUUAGCUCUAUCUCUAGAACACUGACAUUAAGCUGUGCGCCACCAUGCCCAGCUGCUUUCCUGUUUGACUCCUGUGUCAGGAGCAGCCCUGGAUGGAGGUGGGGUCUGUUCCUGAUGGCUUGGCCAUUGCAGAGGUGUCUGGUGAUGCCACAGCACACUGAUAGGUAGAGGGACAGGCAGCUGUCAGUUUUCCAUGGACCUUGUUUCUGAUGAUAUAUUAUUCCUCCCAAAGGUCAUCUUUUGCUCUGUUUCACCAGGGUUCAGGUAUGACCCACCCCACCCCCUGGCUUUAGAGGUAGGCACUGUGUUCCAGGCCUGGGGACAGAUUGCCGAGUUGUCCGACCAUGGGACUUCAAUUGCAUCUUCUCACAGGCAUUGCUCGGUCAACAGAAUGUCAGCUUGGAAUUGCUGGCAGCCAAGUUGGUAUGCAUGUGAGGAUGAAGCCAACAAAGAAGAAAGAAAACACCGAGUGUUUUUUCAGGAACAUGCACCCUUGUAUCUGUCACCAUCAGGUUGGAAUAUUUCUUACCUGCCCUGAGCAGCCCCAUCCAUCCCUUUGAUGGCCAGUCCUCCAGCCUGGGCCCUCCACCCACCUGUCUAGUGACUCUUCUUGUCUUUUCUGGAUAGUCACAUGGUAUUGAAUGUCUACUCUUCUCUUUGUGUGCUUUCAAGGACCACUCCUUCGUGUGCAGUAGGGGGCCAGCCACUCCUUUGCCGCAGGCAGCAUUUGUUUAGCCAUCUCGAGGAUGAUGGCUGUUGCCAGACUUUGGUGGUUCUGAAUAAAACUCUUUUGAAUGU
Molecule: long non-coding RNA, 1543 nt
Filed under: Mus musculus (house mouse)
Lineage: Eukaryota; Metazoa; Chordata; Mammalia; Rodentia; Muridae
Description: long non-coding RNA chr11:79730196-79731739
Source: RNAcentral